RNAcentral lists this ribosomal RNA (905 nucleotides) under Pseudogymnoascus pannorum. RNAcentral's name for it is "partial large subunit ribosomal RNA". It matches the Rfam family "Eukaryotic large subunit ribosomal RNA", at positions 38 to 964 of the family's 3401-position model. Lineage: Eukaryota; Fungi; Ascomycota; Leotiomycetes; Thelebolales; Thelebolaceae. The record is from RNAcentral.
GCAUAUCAAUAAGCGGAGGAAAAGAAACCAACAGGGAUUACCUCAGUAACGGCGAGUGAAGCGGUAACAGCUCAAAUUUGAAAUCUGGCCUCACGGUCCGAGUUGUAAUUUGUAGAGGAUGCUUCGAGCAUGGUCUGGCCUAAGUUCCUUGGAACAGGACGUCAUAGAGGGUGAGAAUCCCGUAUGCGGCCAGGUGCCUACGCUCAUGUGAAGCUCCUUCGACGAGUCGAGUUGUUUGGGAAUGCAGCUCAAAAUGGGUGGUAAAUUUCAUCUAAAGCUAAAUAUUGGCCAGAGACCGAUAGCGCACAAGUAGAGUGAUCGAAAGAUGAAAAGCACUUUGGAAAGAGAGUUAAACAGUACGUGAAAUUGUUGAAAGGGAAGCGCUUGCAACCAGACUUGCGCGCGGCCGAUCAUCCGGUGUUCUCACCGGUGCACUCGGCCGUGCUCAGGCCAGCAUCGGUUUUGGCGGCUGGAUAAAGGCCCUAGGAAUGUAGCUCCUCUCGGGGAGUGUUAUAGCCUAGGGUGCAAUGCAGCCUGCUGGGACCGAGGACCGCGCUUCGGCUAGGAUGCUGGCGUAAUGGUUGUAAGCGGCCCGUCUUGAAACACGGACCAAGGAGUCUAACAUCUAUGCGAGUGUUUGGGUGUCAAACCCAUACGCGUAAUGAAAGUGAACGGAGGUGAGAACCCUUAAGGGUGCAUCAUCGACCGGUCCUGAAGUUUACGGAAGGAUCUGAGUAAGAGCAUAGCUGUUGGGACCCGAAAGAUGGUGAACUAUGCCUGAAUAGGGUGAAGCCAGAGGAAACUCUGGUGGAGGCUCGCAGCGGUUCUGACGUGCAAAUCGAUCGUCAAAUUUGGGUAUAGGGGCGAAAGACUAAUCGAACCAUCUAGUAGCUGGUUCCUGCCGA